UACGUAGGGAGCAAGCGUUGUCCGGAAUCAUUGGGCGUAAAGCGCGCGUAGGCGGCCUCAUAAGUCCGUUGUGAAAGUCAAAGGCUCAAUCUUUGAAAGCCGAUGGAUACUGUGAGGCUAGAGUCCGGAAGAGGCGAGUGGAAUUCCUGGUGUAGCGGUGGAAUGCGCAGAUAUCAGGAGGAACACCAAUAGCGAAGGCAGCUCGCUGGGACGUUACUGACACUGAGGCGCGAAAGCGUGGGGAGCGAACAGG
Molecule: ribosomal RNA, 253 nt
Filed under: uncultured bacterium
Lineage: Bacteria
Description: partial 16S ribosomal RNA
Rfam family: Bacterial small subunit ribosomal RNA
Source: RNAcentral